GGGCUCCCCUCUCUAUUUUUGCCCCUCCAAUUAUCUCUCUCUUGGUCGCGGUGAUUAGGGUUCCGAUCCGAGGCUAGGGUUCUUGGGGGUGGAGAUGGAUGAGGACGAGGAGGAUUACUUGUUUUACGGCACGCCGAUCGAGCGGGAGGAGGAGACGUCGGCGCGGAAGAGGAAGGCCGUCGCCGACGCCGGCCAGCUGCGAACCCUUCCCCAAUGGAAGCAAGAGGUCAGAGAUGAGGAAGGUCGCAGAAGAUUUCAUGGUGCAUUCACUGGAGGCUUUUCUGCUGGCUACUACAAUACUGUUGGUUCAAAAGAGGGAUGGACUCCACAGACAUUUACGUCAUCACGCAAAAAUAGAGCUGAAGUGAAACAGCAGACUAUAUAUAAUUUUUUUGAUGAAGAUGAUAUUAAGGGUAUGGGAGGGCAUGCGUUGGAGACAUCCCUGCAAUUUGAUACCUUUGGAUUUACUGCUGCAGAAUUUGCCCGUAAGAAGGCAGAGAAGGAACAACAGAAGAGACCAUCAGCUAUUCCUGGACCUGUUCCCGAUGAAAUAGUUCUUCCUGCAGCAAAUUCUAUUGGUAUAAAGCUAUUGCAGAAAAUGGGAUGGCGUCAUGGUCAUUCUAUCAAGGACACACAUACUGAUUCCUUGUAUGAAGCACGCAGAGAAGCUAGAAAAGCAUUCCUGGCCUUUUCUGGUAAUGACGGAGGACCAGAACUUGCUCAAAAUGAAUCAAGCAGGUCUGACUCUGAAGAAUGUAGUGAAAAAUGCAAGGAUGGCAUCUAUGCUUCUCAAAAUACUCCUAUGUAUGUACUACAUCCGAAGCUGGAUUUACAUGGAUUGGGUUAUGAUCCGUUCAAGCAUGCUCCUGAAUUUAGAGAUAGGAAAACAUUCCAUGAAUCUAAAAAUAAGGAUCGUCAUUAUAGAAGUGAUGUUUCAAUGAAGGGGAAUCUUUUAGCUUCCAACUCAGGAAAAUAUGCCCCAGGCUUCGGAAUCGGAGCACUUGAGGAACUUGAUAUUGAAGAUGAGGAUAUUUACGCAUCAGGUUUUGACUUUGAACAAACUGAAGUUGAAGAAGUUGAGCCUUCAAGAAUUAUCAGACACAAUAAGUAUAAACUGGAAGAUAAAAAGCAGGGAGUUCUGCCUGGUUUUAAAGUUGCAUCGAUUUCCGACUACAAUGUUGUAAGAUUUCUCCCUCCUGUUAUUCCAGCUGAUUUUGAGCCAUAUCACAAGUUUCCUACCCCUCUUGAGAUGGAAGAUAAGUUAGCUGAGUUACCUCCUCCUGAGGUACCUCCUCCAGAAGACAAUAAUUUGAGACUGUCGAUCGAAGGGCUUGCAACUUUGGUUGCUCGUUAUGGGAAACAUUUUGAAGAUCUCUCCAAGGAGAAGCAUAGAUCCAAUCCAUUAUUCUCAUUUCUUAAUGGAGGAAAUGGCCACAGUUAUUAUGCAAGAAAGUUGUGGGAGGAGAAGCAAAAAAAAGUUGAUCAGCGAAGGAUGGAAGAUGUAAAAUCCAAGUCAUCUGUCCAAACAAUGACUGCAGACAGUCGUGGAAGAAUUCUUGGUGAAAAGCCCUUGGAGAGAAGCUCCAGUGGAUCUAGCUCAUCUACUGCCUUCAAAGAAGUCGUCCAUUUCCAGUCCAAUCUUUCAGACACAUUUACCAAACCAAACUCUCUUGUCGAGUCAUCAGAAUCUGUAAAACCUUUCAAAAAUGAUCCUGCAAAGCAAGAAAGAUUUGAGUAUUUUCUUAAGGAUAAGUACGAAGGUGGCCUCCGUUCUACACAGGCCUUGGGUAGUAGUAUCAUGUCGGAGGCUGAUCGUGCCCGCGAGAGACUGGACUUUGAGGCUGCAGCAGAGGCAAUUGAAAAGGGCAAAGGGAACACAAAAAUUUGUGUUCCAUCAACCCACACAGUUUUGCCAGGACUUGGGGAGCAGUUCUUUAUACCAUCAACCGGAGUAGAGAAACAUGACAUUUCUCAAGAUGAAGAAAAGAUAAUGAAUAAGUUUUACCCAAAGAGAGAAGAGUUUCAGUGGCGACCUACACCCAUUCUAUGCAAGCGAUUUGAUAUCGUCGAUCCUUUCAUGGGGAAGCCACCACCCUUGCCUAGACCCAGAAGCAAGAUGGAGACCCUUAUCUUUAUGACAGAAUCUCUCAAGAGUUCAAAGACUGAAGAGACAAGUUCUGCUGCCAGAGACUCAAAACACAUAUCUCUAUCAGAAGUACAAGAGGUUCAGAAACAACCAACUGCUAACGAGCCUGACAUUGAGCCAAGCACUACAACUGUGCAGAGGCCAGUUGAUCUAUAUAAGGCCAUUUUCUCUGAUGAAUCUGAUGAUGAUGUGGAUGGUGCUAGUCCCAGCCAAGUGGUUGAUCCUGCAAGUAAGAAUGAAGGUGCUAACACAACUUUAAACCGUUUGAUAGCAGGGGAUUUUCUAGAAUCUUUGGGUAAAGAGCUAGGACUAGAGGUUCCUCCUGAUAGGCCCUGCCAACCGUAUAAAGCCAACAGUUCAACCUUAACAGAAAAUGCUUCCAUGGGAGAUCUCAAAAUCCCAUCAACUAAUGAAAAAUCCACAUCUACAUUUGAAAUGCCCAAAGUGCUCUUGGAAAACAAGGAUGAAGCUUGCAAACCAUGGCCUCCUGAAAAUGGCAAAAACAGUGCUUCUGCUUCUAAAGCAUGGGAGAUUGAAGUUCCGCCUUUUAAUGGGGAUGGGCAUGGUCAUUGUUCCUCUUCGAAAGAUAGUUUUAACAUCUGUUUGAGGAGUGGAGUGGCUAGUGGUCGUCCUGAUGUUAAAAAUGAUAAAGUUCAAGUAGAGAAAGAUGAACUUGAUGCUAAAAUAAGUCGCUCACACUCAAAGUAUCGAAGAAGCAGGAGUAGCUCUCCAGAUACUGAUUCUUGUGAUCAACAUUGGAUUAAAAAAAGCAGAACUCACUCAAGGCAUCAUCGAGGCAGGAGCAAGACCCCAGAUACAGAUUCUUCUAGUGAUCAACAUCGUUCUAGAAAAAAUAGAACUCACUCAAGGCAUCAUCCAAGCAGGAGCAGAACUCCAGAUACUGAUUAUUAUAGUGAUCAAAAUAAAGCUAAACACAGUAGAACUCAAUCAAGGCAUCGCCAUAGGAGCACUACACCGGAUAUUGAUUCUUCUAGUGAUUGCCGGUAUCGUGAUCUCUCAAGGUCCGGAGUAGAAAAAUGUUCACCUCAAGGAAAAAGGAAAAAGCGCUCAAGACACCACAAGCACAAAAGGAGAUCUCCGGAUAGAUAUGCUAGCCGUGACAACGACAGGGAUCUCACAGAUGAUAGCAGAAAGGAUAGGAAAUCAGGGGACAGGGGAAGGCACUCUGCAAAAUCAAAAUCAGAUAGUCAUAGAAACUACCGUUGAACAUACUUAAGAUGAAAGAGAUGAAAAUCAUUCUAGAGUUGUAGCAUGUUUUGGAAAUUAGGCAUUAUGUUCCUUUUAACUUCACAUUUGUGUCAUGUGUGAUGCAAGUGGGAAGAGGAAAUAUGGAUGCUUGCAGUCUGAUGGAUGGAGUUGUGCUCGUAAUAAGAAAGACAUGGAAAGGAAAGAAUUUCAUCUGGAUAAAUGGCAUACAGCUCAAUGCAACCAUGGCCGGGAGCUAGAGGAAAUGCUUCAUUGUUGCCAUUGAAACUGCUGCCGUCUUGGGUGACUUUGUUUCCAUCAUCCUUCCUUAGGCCCACACUGAUACUUAAAUCAUUAACGAACGAUUGAAGGGAUCGAUAAUUAUUAUGUCGCCUCUGUUAAAUGGAAAGACCAGAUUGUAUAGUAUCCCGUUGAAACACAACUCUCUUUUAAAGAAUGCAUUAGUAUUUAAAUA
Phoenix dactylifera (date palm) is the source of this 3827-nucleotide RNA transcript. It is a transcript of the gene named SWAP (Suppressor-of-White-APricot)/surp domain-containing protein, with no coding region annotated. The record is from RefSeq and is a predicted model, not a curated record. Lineage: Eukaryota; Viridiplantae; Streptophyta; Magnoliopsida; Arecales; Arecaceae.